This 468-nucleotide ribosomal RNA is filed under the name uncultured bacterium. RNAcentral's name for it is "partial 16S ribosomal RNA". It matches the Rfam family "Bacterial small subunit ribosomal RNA", at positions 28 to 507 of the family's 1533-position model. The record is from RNAcentral.
GACGAACGCUGGCGGCGUGCUUAACACAUGCAAGUCGAACGGAAAGGCCCUGCUUUUGUGGGGUGCUCGAGUGGCGAACGGGUGAGUAACACGUGAGUAACCUGCCCUUGACUUUGGGAUAACUUCAGGAAACUGGGGCUAAUACCGGAUAGGAGCUCCUGCUGCAUGGUGGGGGUUGGAAAGUUUCGGCGGUUGGGGAUGGACUCGCGGCUUAUCAGCUUGUUGGUGGGGUAGUGGCUUACCAAGGCUUUGACGGGUAGCCGGCCUGAUAGGGUGACCGGCCACAUUGGGACUGAGUUCAGGCCCAGACUCCUACGGGAGGCAGCAGUGGGAAGUAUUGCACAAUGGGCGGAGGCCUGAUGCAGCAACGCGGCGUGCGGGAUGACGGCCUUCGGGUUGUAAACCGUUUUCGCCUGUGACGAAGCGUGAGUGACGGGAAUGGGUAAAGAAGCACCGGCUAAAUACGUG